Molecule: small nuclear RNA, 136 nt
Filed under: Helianthus annuus (common sunflower)
Lineage: Eukaryota; Viridiplantae; Streptophyta; Magnoliopsida; Asterales; Asteraceae
Description: U2 spliceosomal RNA
Rfam family: U2 spliceosomal RNA
About the family: U2 is a small nuclear RNA (snRNA) component of the spliceosome (involved in pre-mRNA splicing). Complementary binding between U2 snRNA (in an area lying towards the 5' end but 3' to hairpin I) and the branchpoint sequence (BPS) of the intron results the bulging out of an unpaired adenosine, on the BPS, which initiates a nucleophilic attack at the intronic 5' splice site, thus starting the first of two transesterification reactions that mediate splicing.
Source: RNAcentral
AUACCUUUCUCGGCCUUUUGGCUAAGAUCAAGUGUAGUAUCUGUUCUUAUCAGUUUAAUAUCUGAUAUAGCUUGCUAUUGGGGCCUUUGAGUGUCGCCUUGACGUUGCACUACUGCCUUGGCUUGGCGCACCCCUC